This 184-nucleotide unclassified non-coding RNA is filed under the name uncultured Trichoderma. RNAcentral describes it as "sequence contains ITS1". Lineage: Eukaryota; Fungi; Ascomycota; Sordariomycetes; Hypocreales; Hypocreaceae. The record is from RNAcentral.
CCGAGUUUACAACUCCCAAACCCAAUGUGAACCGUACCAAAACCGUUGCCUCGGCGGGGUCACGCCCCGGGCGCGUCGCAGCCCCGGAACCAGGCGCCCGCCGGAGGGACCAACCAAACUCUCCAUGUAGUCCCCUCGCGGACGCCAUUUCUCUCAGCUCUGAGCAAAGAAUUCAAAUGAAUCA